GCCAGGCAGGGGGCGCACGCCUGUAAUCCCAGCUCCCUGGGAGGCUGAGGCAGGAGGAUAGCGAGUUCAAAGUCAGCCUCAGCAACUCAUCAAGAACCUGAGCAAAUUAGUGAGACCUUGUCUCUA
RNAcentral lists this small RNA (126 nucleotides) under Marmota monax (woodchuck). The record is from RNAcentral. Lineage: Eukaryota; Metazoa; Chordata; Mammalia; Rodentia; Sciuridae.